GUUCUGUUAAGAAUGUCAGUUAAGAGGGACCAACUGCCUCUUCUUGCCUCAGACUUGCCCUAUGUGGUUGUAUUUAGUUUCUCUCAUUAUGCAGUUUUGAUUAUUAUUAAAGCUUAGUUUAUAUUUUUGCGAGCCUCUUAUUUUUCUCGAAGAAACUCUGCUGAGGAAAGCAGUGGAAUGUCCUAAACUACAUGAGUGAGGGAAUAUUCCCAGUUUGCCAGGAUUGAUUUUGUUAACCAUCCUCACCACCACCCCCCCACACCUCCAUGACAAAAAGAUUGCUGAAAUAAGAUUACAGACAAGAUUCAAUGAGGAAAAAGUUCAGACUGCAAAGGGGAGAAAAAUGGUCUUCAUUUACUGUAUAUUUAAUGAUUUUUAAAACUCACUGGUUUACAACCACAACUCACAUAGUGUUUGUUAUGCCAUGCCAUGCCAAUCUCUACGAGCAGUGUGAGAUUCCAGGGGUAUCAGGCGUGCUUACCAGGGUCUGUGUUCCCUUUCGGGACAGUGAGGCACCACAGAGACUUGUGGUGUCUUUAUAUGGUUUAUUUACACAUAUAUGUAACCUGCACCUAAAUGGGAGGAUUGUAGAGCAUUCACAUCCUAAGAGGGGCUGGUGCUUCCCAGCAGUACAACAUUGGAUUCAGAGGCACCCCUUGUCUAGUUCUGCCGCUUCCUCCUCCUUUCCAGCAACACUUGUAGAAAACAACUUUUCUGCUUCCAGCAUCCUGCCCCCCGCCCCGGUCACACUGGCAACUUACUCAAGCCCACUGCAAAAGGCCCUUUUUCCCUAUUGCUUACAGCAGACGAUUGGCAAUCCUACCCAAAAAAACUACUGGGAACAGAGUCUGAUAUUUUGCCAAUUGCUCACCAUUAUCAAACAAACCAGGUCCUUACCAGCCCUUUGCUUCUUCAAGACCCACCCACAGCAAACCGUUUCAUGAGGAAGCUAGCUAGUAUUCUUUCCUGCCCUUGCUAAUUAAUAAAUGUAUGAGUUUGCUCAAAUUCUAAUCCUUCACUGAAUGUAGAGCUUAUGGGUGGUCUGCCCACCCCCACCCCCCGGGCAAGUUAUAACAGUAGGAACACAAGCAGCUGCCUUAUACCCUUAUCAGACCAACUAGUGGUCCAUCUAACUAAGUGUUUCUACACUGUUUGCAAGUGAGUCUCCUUUCCUAGAGAAAUUGUGUGUGCCAAAAUACACACAUAAAGUGUUGGAGUGGCAUUGCCACUAGGAAACAAUAGAGGUAUCCAUGUCUAAACCAGAUUAUAUGUAAAUUCCUCCACACAGCUGCCACCUCAGAAGUGUUUAGGCUAUCCUGAAGGCCUCGGAUACUUUUAAAGCCCCAUCGGCAACAUCCUUUAAAACCUAAAUGGCUUACCUGCUCAUGAAUUUGUCUCAUGAAUGCAGUGAAGUAGCAUCCUAGAAUCAUAUUUACUUAGCUGAUGAGACCAGAUGAAUGAAAAUGUGUCAUCUGUUCACUCCAGGCAAAAUGUAUGGUAUAUUGCUAACAUCGCAUAUUUAAAAUAAUUUUACCCAGAUUUAAAAUCUAGGGCAAAAACAAAUAUGUCCUCCUAAUCCCGGAACACACGGCAACCGUCGGAACUGCAAUAAGUGAUUUAAAGCUUAAAUUCUGUAUUAACCACCCGGCACACAUGGAAGAUUUUCUUUGAAAUAAUAAUAUGCAAAGGCUCCAAAGUCAUUAACCACUAAACAAACUAUGGGGAAAAGAAUUUUUGGAAAUGCCUGAUCUUGAAAACACAAUAGUUUCACUUUUUAUCUCUUUAGCAAAGCUGCUUAAACUCUACACAAUUGGAAGAGCCACCAUCAGCUUUUCUAAGGAAGUUUGAGAACAGCCCACUACAUUUCUUCAGAUUGCUGAAGAUUUGAGGGAACAGCAAAAGUAAUACUGUUUGUUAGGUCUGUCUCUGCAUCUUUUCCUCACCAUCUGGUGAGGACCUUACUCAGAGUUUGGCUCCCCUCUUUCAUUACAGGAAGCCAUUCUGUUUGCUUUGUUUUACAUACAAUGUUGUCUCCCCUGUAUUUUCUUUCCUCCUCUUCUUUCUCAGUCUCAUAAAUCUUUCCUCCCAUCCAUUCUCUUGUAUUAGCAAUUAGGGAUUAGUGAUGGCACACCCUAGGCUCAAGUUGGGGCAUCUUCCAGGAAUGAAUCUCUCACUCCUGUUGCCUAGUGUGACCCUGCACCAUGACAGGAUUCAACACUGGGCAACACCCAGUGAGGGGGUUGGGGUGUUUCCCAACCCUGAUGGAAUGCUAUUCCAACAGUAUGGUCUGAGUGGAAUGCCCUGCAAUCCUACUGCCAUGCCAACAUCUCUCCCCACCUAAUAAUCAUUAAGGAUUUGGCCUGUUUUCACCAAACUCUUGGUCUCCUGUGUUGACUUUCACAGGCCACAAAAUGUGCCUGCCUGGGCAAACCACUGCUGCACCCUCCCUGCAAUCCUUCCAAUGUGAGGUGUUCCCACUCACCUAGAGUCCUACCAGCACUUGGAAAAUCAAGACAUAACUUGCAAUGGAGAGGACUAACCCACACUUUACCUUUUGCACCACUCUCUUCAGGCGCUCGUCUACUUUUAAAAGCUCCGUGUCUGAGCAGUUUUGCUUUGUUUUGUUUGUUUUGUUUUGCCCUGGAGCUUUGCCCCCGAAAACGCACUCUUUGGCACCCAACUGGAGCAAACGUCAAUUCAGGUUUUCUGGAGAUUGCUGUUUACUCCAAUUGAACUUUAAAGAACAGGUGAGGACCAUGCCUGGCAAGAGCGUAGCAAAGAUAAGUGUGGAUAAGCCCAAAGUUACAGGGACAAGCAAACUCAGUUUUGGUUCCCUACCCUUUUUAAACCCAUCAUGAGCUAGAGGGCAAACCUCUGAACCAGGGCAUGUACUCAACUCAGGAAAGAUUCCUUACCUGGUUAAGAACUCAGGAGUUAUAUUUAUGGUUAUCCUAGAGCAAAGUGAGAUUCCACUGUGAAUCAGCUAAAUUACCAUUCAUCAAGAAGUUGAAUUCUUUUCAUUUGGGUGUGAAUAGGGACAAUGGCUUGCCCUACCACAACUGAUGUUAAUUAAUUCAUCAUGGCUAAGAUGGUUGUAUUGUAAUCUAUCACUCUGAAGGGUCACUGCUUAUUUUGCCUGCAUUUAAGUGCUAAUUUAGUUGUCAGUAGCUGUACUUAUUUUUUUCAAUUCUCUCUGACCAUACUGCUUGCAAAUAAUAAUAAUAAUAAUAAUGGCAAUUAUUAUUAUUAUUAUUAUUUGUAUCCCACCGACCUAACUGGGUUUGCCCAGCCACUCUGGGCGGCUCACAGCAUAUAUCAGAGCAUACUAAAACAUCAAACAUUUAAAACUUCCCAAUACAGGACUGCCUUUAAAAGUCAGAUAGUUGUUUAUUUCCUUAACAUCUGAAGGGAGGGUGUUCCACAGGGAGAGUAUCCCUACCAAGAAGGCCCUCGGCCCAGUUCCCUACAACCUCACUUCUUGCAGUGAGGGAACCAGAAGAAUAUUCUUGGAGGAGGACCUCAGUGUCUGGGCUGAAUGAUGAGAGAGGAAACUCUACUUCAGGUAUACAGGACCGUGGCUGUUUAGGGCUUUAAAGGUCAGCACCAACACUUUGAAUUGUGCUCGGAAACACACUGGGAGACAAUGAAGCUCUUUUAGGACUGGUGUUAUAUGGUCCUGGCGGCCACUCCCAGUCACCAGUCUAGCUGCCAUAUUCUGGAUUAGUUGUAGUUUCUGGGUUGCUCUCAAAGUUAGCCCCACAUAGAGUGCACUGCAGUAGUCCAAGGGGGAGAUAAGCAGAACAUGCACCACUUGGGUGAGACAGUCUGCGGGCAGGUAAGGUCUCAGCCGGCGUACCAGGUGGAGCUGGUAGACAGCUGCCCUGGACACAGAAUUGACCUGCGCCAUGGACAGCUGUGAGUGCAAAAUGACUCCCAGACUGCACACCUGGUCCUUCAGGGGCACACUUUCCUCAUUCAGGACCAGGGAGUUCUCCACACCUCCUGUCUCCCCAAAGCAGUACUUCUGUCUUGACAGGAUUCAACCUCAAUCUGUUAGCCGCCAUCCAUCCUCCAACCACCUGUAUAUAUAUACCUGCCAUUUAAUAUUGAAGUUCAUGCACCUGACAAAGCGAAUUCAAGUCCAUUGCAACUUUUGCCAUCAUAAAUUUGCAAAUCCUGAAGAUGUGACCGUUUUCCCUGCAACACAAAGUAACACAUCUACUGCUUUGGAAACUGAAUAAACAUAGAAAUGUAGGGAGCUGGCUUAUACCAAGUCUGACGUUGGUUCUUCUCUUUCAAUGUUAUCUAUACUGACUAGCAACAGAUCUCCAGGAACAGGUACUAUAGGAAUUCUGCUGUUGUGGCUUCUGAUGCAAACUGAGCUGAUUCACCCCUCCCUGAAUAAUGUGUGACUUGGAAUACAAUUAUCCUGCAGAUUUCACACUCCUAGUGGUGUAGCAGUAAAUUAUGAAGCACAGGAGCUCAUAAUGAUGGACCCUAUAGCCAUGUCCCCAUGGAGAGUCCAAAAUGAAGGCAACUGUGUUGCUCAAUGUAUGAAUAUACAUAUACACACACUACAAAGCGGAGCAGUGCAUAGCAAUGUCCUCAAUUUAUUAGGAUCAGCUGACAGUAAAAAAAGAUAUUUGUUG
RNAcentral lists this long non-coding RNA (4649 nucleotides) under Podarcis lilfordi (Lilford's wall lizard). The record is from RNAcentral. Lineage: Eukaryota; Metazoa; Chordata; Lepidosauria; Squamata; Lacertidae.